RNAcentral lists this long non-coding RNA (404 nucleotides) under Capsicum annuum. RNAcentral's name for it is "long non-coding RNA (CANN_LNC016588)". Lineage: Eukaryota; Viridiplantae; Streptophyta; Magnoliopsida; Solanales; Solanaceae. The record is from RNAcentral.
CUGGAGAAACUGCAACUGUGUCCCCUAAGUGCCCCUUUGGAUAUGGUUCAGCUCUUAAGAAGCCCAGUGACGACCAAAAUAAACAACAGGAUGGCCAGGAGAGCAAGCCUAAACAAGAGUCUGGAGAAUCUGCAACUGUGUCACCUAAGUGUCCCUUUGGAUAUGAUAAGAAGCCUGGUGACAACCAAAAUAAACAACGAGAUGGCCAGGAGAGCAAGCCGAAACAAGAGUCUGAAGAAUCUGCAACUGUGGCACCUAAGUGCCCCUUUGGCUAUGAUUCUCAAGCAUUUAAACUGGGUCCUUUUAGCUGCAUGAUAUGUCAGGCACUUCUUUAUGAUAGCAGCAGAUGUGUGCCUUGUUCACAUGUAUUCUGCAAGUAAGUUUAAAGGGGUAACUCUUUUAUG